CCUACGGGGGGCAGCAGUGGGGAAUUUUGGACAAUGGGCGCAAGCCUGAUCCAGCUAUUCCGCGUGUGGGCAGACGGCCUUCGGGUUGUAAACCACUUUUGUAGAGAACGAAAAGUCUAUUGAUAAUACCGAUAGAUGAUGACGGUACUCUAAGAAUAAGCACCGGCUAACUACGUGCCAGCAGCCGCGGUAAUACGUAGGGUGCGAGCGUUAAUCGGAAUUACUGGGCGUAAGGGGUGUGCAGGCGGUUUUGCAAGAUGGAUGUGAAAGCCCCGGGCUUAACCUGGGAAAGCCAUACAUGACAGCAAGACUAGAGUGCGUCAGAGGGGGGUGGAAUUCCAAGUGUAGCAGUGAAAUGCGUAGAUAUUUGGAAGAACACCGAUGGCGAAGGCAGCCCCCUGGGACGCAACUGACGCUCAUACACGAAAGCGUGGGGAGCAAACAGGAUUAGAUACCCGAGUAGUC
Molecule: ribosomal RNA, 465 nt
Filed under: uncultured bacterium
Lineage: Bacteria
Description: partial 16S ribosomal RNA
Rfam family: Bacterial small subunit ribosomal RNA
Source: RNAcentral